RNAcentral lists this transfer RNA (63 nucleotides) under Oxyloma wujiaquensis. RNAcentral's name for it is "tRNA-His". The record is from RNAcentral. Lineage: Eukaryota; Metazoa; Mollusca; Gastropoda; Stylommatophora; Succineidae.
CCUAUUAUAAGAUAAAUAAAUCUAGAGAGUUGUGGUCUCUUUAAUCCUUUAAAGGUAAUAAGU